RNAcentral lists this ribosomal RNA (253 nucleotides) under uncultured bacterium. RNAcentral describes it as "partial 16S ribosomal RNA". It matches the Rfam family "Archaeal small subunit ribosomal RNA", at positions 474 to 727 of the family's 1478-position model. The record is from RNAcentral.
UACCAGCACCCCGAGUGGUCGGGACGUUUAUUGGGCCUAAAGCAUCCGUAGCCGGUUCUACAAGUCUUCCGUUAAAUCCAACUGCUUAACAGGUGGGCUGCGGAAGAUACUAUAGAGCUAGGAGGCGGGAGAGGCAAGCGGUACUCGAUGGGUAGGGGUAAAAUCCGUUGAUCCAUUGAAGACCACCAGUGGCGAAGGCGGCUUGCCAGAACGCGCUCGACGGUGAGGGAUGAAAGCUGGGGAAGCAAACCGG